UAGGGAAUCUUCCACAAUGGACGCAAGUCUGAUGGAGCAACGCCGCGUGAGUGAAGAAGGCUUUCGGGUCGUAAAACUCUGUUGUUGGAGAAGAAUGGUCGGCAGAGUAACUGUUGUCGGCGUGACGGUAUCCAACCAGAAAGCCACGGCUAACUACGUGCCAGCAGCCGCGGUAAUACGUAGGUGGCAAGCGUUAUCCGGAUUUAUUGGGCGUAAAGCGAGCGCAGGCGGUUUUUUAAGUCUGAUGUGAAAGCCCUCGGCUUAACCGAGGAAGCGCAUCGGAAACUGGGAAACUUGAGUGCAGAAGAGGACAGUGGAACUCCAUGUGUAGCGGUGAAAUGCGUAGAUAUAUGGAAGAACACCAGUGGCGAAGGCGGCUGUCUGGUCUGUAACUGACGCUGAGGCUCGAAAGCAUGGGUAGCGAACAGGAUUAGAUACCCUGGUAGUCCAUGCCGUAAACGAUGAAUGCUAGGUGUUGGA
RNAcentral lists this ribosomal RNA (480 nucleotides) under uncultured bacterium. RNAcentral's name for it is "partial 16S ribosomal RNA". It matches the Rfam family "Bacterial small subunit ribosomal RNA", at positions 355 to 827 of the family's 1533-position model. The record is from RNAcentral.